GAGAGUUAAACAGUACGUGAAAUUGUUGAAAGGGAAACGAUUGAAGUCAGUCAUACCAACGGGAAAUCAACCUCUUGAGUUUGGUCUCGUGGGUUUCGAAGAGUUUUAAAAGCCUUCGGAUUUUCGAGAUUGGGCUCUUCUGGUGUACUUUCUCGUACGGUUAGUCAACAUCGGUUUUGAAUGUCAUAAAAUGACUGGAGGAAUGUGGCUUCGAUCUCGUAUUGAAGUGUUAUAGCCUUUGGUAGAUGUGAUGUUCGAGACCGAGGAUUGCAACGGAUACCCUUCUGGGCUAUUCGUCUGAUCUCUGAAACGUUGCCUUGAUGUCGAAAGCUUGCUUAUGAUGUUAGGGUAUUACGGUCAAAAGGUUAGAACGGAUUAAAUUCGUUAAGGAUGUUGACGUAAUGACUUUAAACGA
RNAcentral lists this ribosomal RNA (415 nucleotides) under uncultured Funneliformis. RNAcentral describes it as "partial 28S ribosomal RNA". The record is from RNAcentral. Lineage: Eukaryota; Fungi; Glomeromycota; Glomeromycetes; Glomerales; Glomeraceae.